AGGUGGUGCAUGGCUGUCGUCAGCUCGUGUCGUGAGAUCAACCCAAAAGGCCCGCAACGAGCGCAACCCUUGUCCUGUGUUGCCAGCACGUGAUGGUGGGGACUCGCAGGAGACUGCCGGGGUCAACUCGGAGGAAGGUGGGGACGACGUCAAGUCAUCAUGCCCCUUAUGUCCAGGGCUUCACACAAGCUACAAUGGUCGGUACAGAGGGCUGCGAUACCGUGAGGUGGAGCGAAAGGGUUAAAGCCGGUCUCAGUUCGGAUCGGGGUCUGCAACUCGACCCCGUGAAGUCGGAGUCGCUAGUAAUCGCAGAUCAGCAACGCUGCGGUGAAUACGUUCCCGGGCCUUGUACAGACCGCCCGUCACGUGAAGAUAGUCGGUAACACCCGAAGGCGGUGGCCAUACGCCUGGUCGGACCCAC
RNAcentral lists this ribosomal RNA (421 nucleotides) under Rhodococcus sp. enrichment culture clone Ding10. Its description in RNAcentral is "bacterial SSU rRNA". It matches the Rfam family "Bacterial small subunit ribosomal RNA", at positions 1036 to 1456 of the family's 1533-position model. Lineage: Bacteria; Bacillati; Actinomycetota; Actinomycetes; Mycobacteriales; Nocardiaceae. The record is from RNAcentral.